RNAcentral lists this ribosomal RNA (468 nucleotides) under uncultured bacterium. Its description in RNAcentral is "partial 16S ribosomal RNA". It matches the Rfam family "Bacterial small subunit ribosomal RNA", at positions 28 to 523 of the family's 1533-position model. The record is from RNAcentral.
GAUGAACGCUGGCGGCGUGCCUAACACAUGCAAGUCGAGCGAUUCUCUUCGGAGAAGAGCGGCGGACGGGUGAGUAACGCGUGGGUAACCUGCCCUGUACACACGGAUAACAUACCGAAAGGUAUGCUAAUACGAGAUAAUAUGAUUUUAUCGCAUGGUAGAAGUAUCAAAGCUUUUGCGGUACAGGAUGGACCCGCGUCUGAUUAGCUAGUUGGUAAGGUAACGGCUUACCAAGGCGACGAUCAGUAGCCGACCUGAGAGGGCGAUCGGCCACAUUGGAACUGAGACACGGUCCAAACUCCUACGGGAGGCAGCAGUGGGGAAUAUUGCCCAAUGGGCGAAAGCCUGAUGCAGCAACGCCGCGUGAGCGAUGAAGGCCUUCGGGUCGUAAAGCUCUGUCCUCAAGGAAGAUAAUGACGGUACUUGAGGAGGAAGCCCCGGCUAACUACGUGCCAGCAGCCGCGGUAA